UGGGGAAUUGUUCGCAAUGGGCGCAAGCCUGACGACGCAACGCCGCGUGGAGGACGAAGAUCUUCGGGUCGUAAACUCCUGUCGAGCGGGAAGAACGGCCCGCGGGUGAAUAGCCUGCGGGAGUGACGGUACCGCUAAAGGAAGCCCCGGCUAACUCCGUGCCAGCAGCCGCGGUAAUACGGGGGGGGCAAGCGUUGUUCGGAAUUACUGGGCGUAAAGGGCUCGUAGGCGGCCAACUAAGUCGGAUGUGAAAUCCCCAGGCUCAACCUGGGAACUGCAUCCGAUACUGGAUGGCUUGAAUCCGGGAGAGGGAUGCAGAAUUCCAGGUGUAGCGGUGAAAUGCGUAGAUAUCUGGAGGAAUACCGGUGGCGAAGGCGGCAUCCUGGACCGACAUUGACGCUGAGGAGCGAAAGCUAGGGGAGCAAA
This 426-nucleotide ribosomal RNA is filed under the name uncultured bacterium. RNAcentral's name for it is "bacterial SSU rRNA". It matches the Rfam family "Bacterial small subunit ribosomal RNA", at positions 355 to 772 of the family's 1533-position model. The record is from RNAcentral.